GACGAACGCUGGCGGCGUGCCUAACACAUGCAAGUCGAACGGGGUAGCAAUACCCAGUGGCGGACGGGUGCGUAACACGUGAGGAACAUGUCUUUCGGCGGGGAAUAGCCGGCCUAACGGCCGGGUAAUACCGCGUACGACGAUUGGGGCGCAUGCCUUGAUCGUGAAAGCAGCAAUGCACCGAUAGAGUGCCUCGCGGCCUAUCAGCUAGUUGGUGAGGUAAUGGCCACCAAGGCGACGACGGGUAGCUGGUCUGAGAGGAUGAUCAGCCACAUUGGGACUGAGACACGGCCCAGACUCCUACGGGAGGCAGCAGUGGGGAAUAUUGCGCAAUGGGCGAAAGCCUGACGCAGCGACGCCGCGUGUGGGAUGAAGGUCUUCGGAUUGUAAACCACUGUCGGGAGGGACGAAUGCGCCGCAAGGCGAGUGACGGUACCUCCAAAGGAAGCACCGGCUAACUCUGUGCCAGCAGCCGCCGCGGUAAG
This 485-nucleotide ribosomal RNA is filed under the name uncultured bacterium. Its description in RNAcentral is "bacterial SSU rRNA". It matches the Rfam family "Bacterial small subunit ribosomal RNA", at positions 28 to 524 of the family's 1533-position model. The record is from RNAcentral.